Molecule: non-coding RNA, 72 nt
Organism: Veillonella parvula DSM 2008
Lineage: Bacteria; Bacillati; Bacillota; Negativicutes; Veillonellales; Veillonellaceae
Source: Rfam
GGCGGCAUAGCCAAGCGGUAAGGCAGAGGUCUGCAAAACCUUUAUUCCCCAGUUCGAUUCUGGGUGCCGCCU